Long non-coding RNA from Macrobrachium nipponense, 7809 nucleotides. RefSeq lists it as uncharacterized. The transcript has 3 exons. NCBI's taxonomy places the organism in Eukaryota, Metazoa, Arthropoda, Malacostraca, Decapoda, Palaemonidae. The record is from RefSeq and is a predicted model, not a curated record.
GUUGACUCAGAGUCUCAGAUAGACAGACUCUCCCAUAUGAGCAGCGACCGUUGAAGUGAAAGGAACUCUCCUGCUCACUCUCUGGAACUCCAUCCAGCCAGCCACUUUCAACGAUUGUUUUGUAUCCCGACGUUGAAUUAUUUUGUAUAUUUUUUUUUCUAAAGUGAAUUUAUUUAUUUUGAAAGUUUUCGUGAAGAUUGACGGUAAGAAAUAAGCCAUGUUGUGACACCGGUGGUAAUUUUUUAAUUUUUUUUUUAUUAGUGUUGUAGCGAUCAGCUGAUUUUGUCAAAUUAUUUAUUGCUUAGUUUUGAUCUAUUAUUACUGUCUUGAGUAACGUUACUGUAUACCAAACUUAUAGUUUUUUUUUAUAGUGGAUAACAGGGAUUAGACCUUGCAUAGGACUUUUAAAAAAAUUAAUAUAAAUUUAUUAUUGUAGGAUAUUGAUUGAUGGCAAAUGGCCGAAGGUCACGGUGUGUGAAAGUAAAAUGGUUAUUGUUCAUAAUAUUUUAGGUUGUAGUUUCAAUUCAUGUGGUCGUACUUUUAAUUCGCCAUUCAUUCAUAGUAUGUUUAAUUUGCCAGUAAUUGCGCAUUAUGCGUAUUGCACCAGCCCAGAUAAGGUGAAAUCAGGCUGGACAAAGUGGAAGUUGUACGACCUUCUUGAGCCACUCCCCGGAAAAGGGGGGAGAGGGAACGGGGGAACUGUCAUGGACCCCGUGGGGGGGUGGGACUCCCCAGAAAGGGGGUGGUGUGGUGGGGGCACCUUUCCCCCGAAUGAAAGGUUGGCAAAUUGCCCGGCCGCCAUUUCAGUGGAGUGAAUGGUAGCUAGAUUUAGCAGUGUUCAGUUAGGGAGGGACAAUGAUGGUUCUAAGCAGAAUAUUUUUUAGCAGUUUCUCAUUGUUACUGUUUAGUGGGAAAGGGAGGUAGAUUGAAAGAAUGUGGCUCCCCCCCCCCUCUUUGUUUUAUGAACAAAGAAUAUGGCUUCCUUUUUUUUUUUACGAACUCUAUGUGGUAUCAAAGUGAUUUGUGCAUCAAUGAAGUGCAAUGGUGAUAAUGAAACCUGCAAAAGUUUGCUUACUGGCGUACGUUGAUGUGCCGUGAGAUGUUACGUGUGAAGGGUCACAUGAAAUAUUCAGUGUUAGUGAGGACGGCCGUAGGUUAUUUAUAGUUUUUUGAAUUGAUUGGUGUUAAGUUUAAUAUAUCUUAUAGGUUUGAUAAUAUAGGAUGUACCCUGUUAAUAAUUGAUUUGAUAUUAUGGGAUGCACCCUGUUGAUAAUCGGUCAUUAAAUAGAGGCAUCAGUUAGGGAAGUCUUGCAUGUACCCUAUUGUCUGUGGAUCAUAUCUCGCUCUGUAUGUAGAGCGAAGUGUUCCUUGGACAGAGACAUCUGCAUGCUGACCUAUUUGGGCCCCAUAUUUAAUGACCAAAUGUUCCAAUAUCAACAGUAAGUGCACUUAUUACUAUAUGCUAGGAUCUUGAUACCAUUCAGUAGGCUGCCUUGCGAUAUGGCUGAGAAGAUUGACUAAUGAAAUAUAAAUAUACUAACCACAAAAAUUGCACAUGUUUUUCCUAAUUAGGGAAUGUUUUUAUAUUGAUUUGCAGUACAGUAUAGAACACGGAAAGGUAAAUAUCCUGUGUUGAGCCUAGGCAUUUGUUUUUAGAUGGCGUCACUUGCAAUUACAGAUAGUUAAUGGAUGCUUUUAAGCAGAAAAGGUUUUAUUUCAACACGACUAGCUUGGAACCUCCCAUUAAAACCUAUUGAUUUGGUUUUUAAAUUUUUUUUUGUUAUGAAAGGAAGUUUAGCUGAAUGGCCAGCGUAGGAUUCAUUUAAUGGAAAAUGGUAUGUUAUUUAGCAAUGGCCAGGGUCUGAAGGUUGGAAAGACAAUUCAUUUUCAUUUUUUUAUUAUUUCAAUGAAGUAGUUGCUUUGGCAAUAAAAAAUAAUUUUUAAUCCACUUUUAAUUUAUGAAGAAAAGGUUAAUUUAGAAACUUGGAUCACUAAGUAGCAAUCAGUUAUAGAUAAGUAUUAAGUUUGGUGUAUUUUGGAGCGAUAUAAACAUCAGUGUAGUUGGAGGAUUCAUGUUGAAGGGUUGUAAGCUGUUAGGGAUAGCAUGACAUGGCUUAUUCUGUGUUAAUCAUCACAGACUUUUUGCUGUUUAAGUAUAUGUAGUUAUGCAUUAAUCAUCGUAGACAUUUUCCAUAAAGUAUAUUUAGUUAUACUUUAUGUAUUCUCGUGUAUGGUCAUCAAGUCAAUUUUGACUUUAAAAAAAAAUGUAAACCAUGGUUUUUUGUAUGCCAUUUUCUGGCCACCUAAGGCUGGAAAGAUGUACUAUCAGAAUAAAAUGAAAAUGGCAAAGGAUUAUCUUGAGUAUCAUUUUGGUUACCUUUUCAUGUUUUGUGAACGGUUUAGUUAAUGAUUUCCUUUUUACAGCAGUUGCUGUGUUCGCAUGUCGAAUGGCAUGGACAACGCCUCCCUCCCCAGGCCAUCGGGAACCAUCCCUAGCACUGAUUUGGUUUAGUACUCUGCAGCAACGAGUCUGUUGACACCGCACUGGUUAAGAACUGCAAUCCUACAUACCUUUUUAUACUCAAAAUGUAUAUCUUGAGGAAACUUGAAAUAUUGGUACAAGAGUUUAACAGCGAAUACGAUACUCCCGAAACAAUAUUACUCCUUGCAGUGUGGUGUUACGAUGGCACCUGUACAUACUGCGCAGGAAAGGUUCUUCUCAAACUGAAACUGAACACUACAUCCCUACUACCCCCACUGCAGCAGCCGUCACCCAUGCCCUUUGUGUGACUGGUAGACGUAUCAUUCAUUUUAGUUAACAACUUGCUUUCUGGAGAGAAUUUGAUAAUCUUAUACAGUACAGUGUCUUGGCAAUAUUUGGGUUAGAUUCUGUCAUUUUUUUUAUUUUAUUUUUUUAUCAAGAUUGAGCAGUAUGAAUGUUGAAUAUGGAAUUUUCACCACUUUCAUCUCAUCCUCAAAACUUUCUUUUAUACCAUCCCAUGGCUAUGCUGUGACGACAUGCAACCUGUAUGGCCCACCACCUGACUCAAGAAACUGCUUCUGUUCCGACUGUGAGCACAAGUUUAGUUGAGGUAUGGGGAGGGGUUUGGUAUUUUCAUUUAUUACAGCCAAUUGGUUUUGUUGCCUGACUUAUCUCAACGCUUAGUGGCUCAGGUUUUUUGUCAUCUGUGCACUCAUUAAGGACUGUACAGUUGAUUAGCAUGAGUUAAUAUAAAAUAUAUUCAUGCUCAGUAAUUCUGAUUAAUAGUGGCUUAUUGAUUAUUAAUUUAUAUUUGAUAUAUUAAUAAGAAACUUCAGAUUGUCCAGAUUUGGUAAGCAUUUGACAGAGUGAACAGUUUCUCUACAGUAACUGAUAUUAAUGUUUUCCAUAAAAUCACGAUUUAGUUAAUGUUUAUCCAUAAGAGAAUCAUGAGAUAAGUUUAAUUGUAAGCUGCUUAGACUAUGAGUGAGAAUUGCUCUACACUUAGCUGAUAAUUCAUGUUAUUUCAUAUGAAAAUCACGACUUGAAUUAACUGUAACAUGCCUAGACUUUCAGUAUAAGCUUUCUGGAAAGUAGUAGUCAAAGUAGCAUGAUUGUAUCAUUGUAUGAGAUUAAAUGUAUGUUCAGGUAGUGAACUUGCUUGGGAAAAGUUGUAAGAGGUAGGACAGUCUUAUUAUGGAAUGCCCAUCUUACUCUUUCUUUUUACCCCGUGCUCUUUCAUAUUCAACCUGAGCCCUGGGUGCCGAUAGAUUUGCAGUAACCGGAAUAGAAAUUCGCAGCUGUCAACGAGGUAGAGGUAUGACAAGUGUAAGAUGUCCAAAGCAGAUUUUACCAUUAACUCUCCCCCUUUUAAAGUUCAGAUUAUGAUAGUUCUUCCACAAUCAUAUGAUGGGCUAUGGUAAAGGUAAGUUGCAGAUGCAGUAAAAAGGGCAGAAAUUAUCUGGAAAGUAAAAUUGGAAAUCGGAAGUUAUGAUGGUGGGACAAAUUUACUGUUAACUACACCUUUACUGUAGCCCAAGAUUUCAUGAAACUAUUACACUUUUGCUUGACAGUUAAGCAAGUAAUAACCCUGUUUUGAAUCAGUUCAGAAUACGAGUAAAUUGGAGGAAAAUGAGAUUGAGGUAUGAGGAUUGCUUCAUAUUUAUUUAAAGCUUUACCAGUGCACAUAAGAUUAACUUCUAGAAGUAAAACCUUGCAACAGAUGUAGAACCUUUGGAAAGUUGUCAACAGGAGUCUUAAUAAUGAAAUACGUUCUGUAUAUGAAUAUGAAAAAUGCCCAAUACUGUCCUUACAGGAGUCUCCAGAUACGUAUAAGCAAGUGAUGUGUCAUUGUCCAGAAACAAGAGUGGUGUUAAGCACAACUGAUGGUACAAUUGCAGACGGCAAGGGGUCCUCUGCAACAUCUUAUAGUUCUGCUAAGUUUCCAAUGAAUAAAAAAAAUAAUAGGUUGGCUGCAGGCAAAGGGUCCUGAGGCUAUCAAUUCCCAUCAAGGUAUUCCAGUAAUCGGUAGUGGAGCCAUAGGCAAGGGGUCCUGUGUCCUGGCUGUUUCAUGUACAUCUUGAAGGGUCAACUGCAGUCCCUGAGUGUUGCAAGGUAUUUUUUUAAAGGAAAUUUUCUUACAGAACAUGCAAUUUUUUUAUUUAAUUUUUUUUUGAGGAAAAUCUUAUUUUUUUUUUUCAAAGGCAAUAUAAACCAUCCAGACUUUUCUCUGUACUACUAAAGGUACUUUAAAAUUUUCCAUUUAUACUAUUCUACAAUGCUGAAUGUAAUUGAAAUUCUUUUAUAAUCAUUCACUUGUACCAAAACAAAUGGUCAAAGGAAGUAAGGGGUUUGGGUUGGGUUGUGAAAGUUUGUUACAGGUUCUGACGACUACGUGACAAGUUGGUACGCUGUCCUUCAGCGAGUUGGACAGGAGUUGAUGGGUAACAAAGAUUCGAUAUGCAGUGAGUGAGGUUCUUGAACUACUACAAAGGUGUUGGAGGAUCACUAGUUCCCACAGAAUUGCGAUUUGACCUGCGCACUACCUAGUUUGUGUACCGGUUUUGAAAGUUUGCUUUGCGGUUUGACAAGAACACUUUGGGGCGCAUGUAAGUUGAAUGAUCCAGCCAAAAUAUACUUGAUCAAUGGAAACCUGUAAUGCUGUUAUUUCAUUUUUUAUUUUUUUUUUUAAAUCUCCAGUCAUUACCAAUUUUGAAUACUUCAGUAGUUAUUUAAUUGAAGCAAAUUAUUUAUGCAUUGGGUUAUGGGUCUUCAUAAUGUUCAGGGUUGCUCUAUCCUCAUUUGCUAAUGGGUUGUGUUGGUAUGGAAUUUGUAGAUGGUAGUUUAUGAAGAUAGGAUUAUGCCUUUGUAUAGUAUGUAAUUUGUUGGAGGGUAGCAGGGAAGGAAGUUGCAAGUGGCUUAAAUUUUUGUCAAAUAACUGUAUUGCAUAUGUUGUGCUAGCUUAUGGUAUAGUGAGCUUGUUAAAAAUUCUAAAUUUAAUCUUGCGAUAUUUAGCCCUUUCCAUAGAAUGUUACUACUAAAAUUGAAUGUGAGCAAUUGUAACAAUAAAAGAUAGAGAGCUUUGGGCAAGGGCUGGGAAGGGGAGAGGGUUAUCCAUUGCCAUUCCAGUGCCCCCACAGAUAUGAAAGCUGUCCUGCAGAGUGAAGUCCAGCAAGCAAUGGUAACCUUGUUGGCUCUGCGUGUAAAUCCCAGCAAGUGCUGUAGUAAUUCCGCGUAUACCUCUCAAAUGUGUUGCAAGUAGCAAAGCCUUGGUUCUGCGCAUGUUGCGAAGAAGCCGCCGGUGUAUGCCAUUUGAAGCUAGGACUGUCCGGUCCCCAAGGACCAGUGGAAUGGGUUUGGAACCAUAUGUUUUGUGUACUUAGUCACAUGCAUGAGUAGUUGGUACCCUGUUCCGUUUCCUUUGGUAUAUAUUCAGUAUAUUGCAUUAAGAUAUUGUUUUAUGAGGUUCAAUGGUUGCUUGCCAGCCAUAUGGUCAGAGUAGAUUUAGUUGGGUGGUAGGUUGCAAGUCCUGAAAAAGUCCAUUUUAAUCUUCAGGGUUUUAAGAAAUGUAAUAUCCUUUUUAGUAGUUAGCAGACAAACAAUACUAUUGGUUUUGCACACAAAGCUUAGAGCAGCUGCAAUAAUUUUCGUGGGGUUGACCCUGAAGUGGUUGCUUUCGUUCAUGCCGUGGCGAUGUACAUCAGUGGCUCAGUUCGUUUAUACUCUGUAGCAUGGGAAGCAGUUUUCAGUAAAGCAUGAAUUGGAUGGGCAAGUUUUCUUGAUGUUUUCCCCCCUACAGUAUGCUGUUAAUGUAUGCUGGAAUAUAAUUUAGGUAGCUAGUUAUUAUUAUACAGUUAGGCCGCUACUUUUGUCACUACGUCGAUCAGCAUUGUUUGGCACAUUAUUAAUAACAAACAUUUUUAUGAAUUAACAAGGUGGCUAUGCGACAGCAAUUUCUUUGAAACUAAAAAUAGCUUGAUAUUUGUCACUGAUGUGUAUUUGUACAUGUAAAUACUGUAGGCUGCUUCCUUUGUUGUAUGUUAAACAGAACUGGACACGAUCAGUAUUUUGCCAGAGCAUGAUAUUGAAGCCUUCAGGUUCAUGGCACUUGACGUUGGUCUUAAACUUACUAUAGAAAUGCAAGAAGCUUCAAAGAAAACUUGCUUGUUAAUGCACUGACAGCCUUUUUAACUCCUCUUUGAAUGCACUUUUUGAAAGUUUUGUGGGUUUUAAGAACUUUAUAUGGGACAUCUGUUCUUGCUGGCUGAAUUCAUUGCUAAUUACUUGCAAUUCUUGGAUUUUCAUUUCUGCUGUAAGCUCUAUAUCUUUGGAAGUUUUUAUAUGUAGGUUUUAAUGUUGCCAGGGUGUAUUUGGUGUUACAAUUAAUAGAAUUAGUUUAGUAAGCUACUACCAUAAAAAAUUUUGGAUGUAUUCACUGGUUUGAAUCCUUGAAUGCCCCUAUAUGCCAAUGAAAUCUAACCCUGUAAUCUUGUGCAGUAAUCUGUUAGAGGAUCCAGCAUUUAGACAUUUUAUGAGAAUGUAGGAAAACCCAAUACUGUAUGCUUUAUAUACGUAGCUUAGGCAAUUUUGUGCUAUUCAUCAGGUACAUGUGACGUUGCCCAGCAAAGGAAAGUUUUAACCCCCCCCCCCCAUAAAUAUCUGAAAACAUUCCCAAACUUCGAAUGUGAGGGGUGAGAUCACCCCCCACCCCCCCUCUGGAUCCACAAACUAAAAGGAUGUUAAGUGUUUUUAUUUUGCCUUCAUGUAUAUGCAUAAGAAGCAGCAGCGUUCUUCGGUAUAAUCAAGCCAAAAUUUGUAAGGAACUGCUUUUGGUAAACACCGUUGAAACAAACCUAAUGUUUACGUAUGGCGCGCCCCGACUAUUGCUUUAUACUCUACGAGCGUUCUCCAAGAGCACGCUAGUUACAGCUGGUUUAACGAAGGAAUGAUGAACUUGCACAUUGAAUCAAAGCUUUCCACUUUCCUGGUUUUAAGAGUGCGUGCUUUUGCCUACUUACGCAAUGGCUGUGGUCAAGGGUGUUCCUACCUCAUUUCCAAAUCAUAACUGCUGCAUCGUGGUAGUGGAUGGUUGUCGAAGAACUACCUCUGGGAAAGUUGGACUCAUGAAUUAUUCAUCAAAUUUGUUAACAGCUCGGUAAAGUGAAGUCAAACCUGGUUCCCAAAUUUCCUCUAUGCUGGUUAGUAUACUUCAUGCCAUUGUUGUAAAUGAGAAAAGCAUGAGACGUGUAUGAUUUUGUGAACUACUGAGGAUUGGCAUUGUCUAACUAUCGAUUUUUGUAGACGUGUCAAUAACCACAUGAUUUAGGAAU